AGAAUCAACGCUGGCGGCGUGCCUAACACAUGCAAGUCGCACGAGAAAGCGGGAGCAAUCCUGCGAGUAAAGUGGCGUACGGGUGAGUAACACGUGAAUCAUCUACCUUCGAGUGUGGAAUAACUGAGAGAAAUCUUAGCUAAUACCGCAUAAUACCUACGGGUCAAAGCAGCAAUGCGCUUGAAGAGGAGUUCGCGGCAGAUUAGUUAGUUGGCGGGGUAAUGGCCCACCAAGACGAUGAUCUGUA
RNAcentral lists this ribosomal RNA (247 nucleotides) under uncultured bacterium. Its description in RNAcentral is "partial small subunit ribosomal RNA". It matches the Rfam family "Bacterial small subunit ribosomal RNA", at positions 26 to 285 of the family's 1533-position model. The record is from RNAcentral.